RNA transcript from Synchiropus splendidus (mandarinfish), 4270 nucleotides. It is a transcript of the gene named molybdenum cofactor sulfurase, with no coding region annotated. Lineage: Eukaryota; Metazoa; Chordata; Actinopteri; Syngnathiformes; Callionymidae. The record is from RefSeq and is a predicted model, not a curated record. The transcript is spliced from 12 exons.
UGUUCGGCAACAAAAACGAGAAGAAUGACCAGCACGUGCGUCGAGACUGUCAGGCUGCGAACGCGCGCGCGAGUCAGCGGACUUCGACCCCCGUCACGUGACCGCGAUAAACAUGCGGCUUUAAAAAGUUGUUUCAGCGCAGCGACAGUUGUGUAACACCAUCAUGGAGACAGUCAACCACUUCCAAACCUUUAAGGAACUCGGCAUCGACUAUGGUUAUGAAGACGACUUAAACGAUGUCCUCCGAAGAGAGUUCACGCGAAUGAAAGGAAUUACAUACUUGGAUCAUGCAGCGGCGACUCUUUACCCAGAAUCUGCAGUGAAGGAGUACUUCUUGGAUAUUUCAAGGAACGUAUACGGAAACCCUCACAGCCACAACUCCAGCAGCCGACUGACACAUGACACCAUAGAGAGGGUCAGAUAUAGGGUAUUGCAGCACUUCAACGCAGACCCUGAGGAAUACUCUGUUAUUUUCACGUCUGGGUGUACAGCUGCUCUCAAAUUAGUUGCUGAAAGCUUCCCUUGGAGGCCGCAAUCCGAGAGCGAGUCAGCCAGUCACUUCUGCCACCUCGCUGAUAAUCACACGUCUGUCGUCGGAAUACGGGCUCUGGCGUCUGACCGGGGAGCUGCUAUCCUGCCCGUGGCCCUGCAGGAUGUGGAGAACACAGCCAAAGACCAAAGUCAAAGUGAGGAUGUCGCUUGCCUGACGCCACACCUUUUCUGCUACCCUGCUCAGAGCAACUUCUCGGGACGCAAGUAUCCCCUCGACCAUGUGAAGGCCAUCCAAGCACGACAGCUUUACCCGGCAUGUAAACACCCAGGACGCUGGUUUGUGCUGCUGGACGCAGCAUCUUAUGUCAGCUGCUCCCCUCUCAGCCUCCGAGACUGUCCUGCAGAUUUUAUUCCUAUUUCUUUCUACAAGAUGUUUGGUUUCCCCACUGGCCUUGGUGCUCUUUUGCUCAGUAAGGACGCAGCCAGCAUACUGAAAAAGACUUAUUUUGGAGGUGGUACAGCUGCCGCUUACCUUUCAGGAGAAGAUUAUUAUGUGCAGGCAGCAAACAUCUCUGACAGGUUCGAAGAUGGAACUGUGUCGUUUUUGGAAAUUGUUGCUCUCAAUCACAGUUUUGAGGCCCUGUACAGGAUCACAGGGGGAAUGGCCAACAUCCAGCGGCACACAUUCGGCCUGGCGCGCUACACUUACAUGCUGCUGUCAAGUCUUUGCCAUGGCAACGGUCGACCGGCGGCUCGCAUAUACACCGAAGGCCAGUUUGAGAGUCCGAGCACACAGGGAGCAGUCCUUAACUUCAACCUCAUCGAUUCCCAUGGAAAAAUAGUUGGAUAUUCUCAGGUGGACAGAAUGGCUGCUCUGUACAAUAUCCAUGUGCGCACCGGCUGUUUCUGCAACACGGGUGCAUGUCAGAGUUACCUCGGGAUCAGCAACCAGCAGAUGAGGACCAAUCUGCAGGCUGGCCACGUCUGUGGAGACGCCAUCGACCUGGUGGAUGGUCGUCCGACCGGUUCCGUCCGCGCUUCCUUUGGCUACAUGUCAACAUUUGAAGACUGUCAAAGGCUGCUGAGCUUCAUAGCAGAGUGCUUUGUGGAGAAACCAGUGACAGUGGACCGGGACCGACUGGAGGCACUUAAGGCCACAGCAGCAUCUGAGAGUUUCAAUGAAAGUCUUCCCAUCACAAAUUGUGAAAAGAAAAUGCUGUGCGUAGGCAAGAAGCAGAAACUCGCAGCAGCAUCACUGGAGGGAUUUAAGGGGAUAAACCCAAGCAGCUGUGAAGAGCCUUACACUCUGACCAACAUCUACAUAUAUCCUGUCAAAUCUUGUGGAGCGUUUGAGGUCUCCAACUGGCCGGUGGGAUCUCGAGGUCUGCUGUACGACCGAGGGUGGAUGGUGGUGAAUGGAAACGAUGUGUGUUUAAGUCAGAAGAGAGAGCCGCGUCUGUGUCUCAUUCGCCCUGAAGUCCACCUGCCUUCUAACACGCUCCACCUACAGGCGGCAGGGAUGGAGGGGAUCUCUGUUCCUCUAGAAGGAACCAUGGGAGCAAACUAUCCCGAGUGUCAGAGUAAAGUUUGUGGGGACAGGGUGGAGACGGUGGACUGCGGGGACGAGGCUGCGAUGUGGCUCACCAAGUUCCUCGGACAGCCCUGUCGCUUGAUAAGACAAAAUCCUAAUUCCACACGAGACAAGAAGCAAAGGCCCGGCAGAGGUAGUACUGAUCAUUUGUGAGGCAAGCCUAUUGAAUACUGAUUAUUUUAGCUGCGGAUGAAUAAUAGCAUUAUGUCGGCCAAAUUUAAUGAAAAUGAAAUAGAAAGUUUCCUUUUGGCUGGUACUUCCAUCUCCAGCAUCUGGUCCAACUCUGUCUCUCCUCGCCUUGUGUCCAAACUAUCUCUGAGGGGCUUUUCACACUGCCGGUUCUGUCUCCGGUGGCCUCAGUUCGAUUCGCCCCCUACUGUGCAGCCUCGCACCUCUGCGCCUUUUUUCUCCUCAUCUGGUGGAGCUCUGCGCAAAAUAGCUGGUUUGUGACCCACGAUGAAGAACAUCUAAAGGAAGUCGUCAUCAGCUACGCAACUAGCUAUUUAACACCAUCGGGUUGACCUCCUUAUUCCUGUCAAUUCUUAGCACUACGAGUCGUCCUCACCUCAGAUAUGAACUGAUGACGGACCUCCGCCACAGCUGUAACAGAAUGUGGUGUCACAGCCGAAACAAAACAUGGAAGAGUGUUGUCAUGUUUAUUUUACAAGGAAAUAGCGAAAACAAGCUGCGUAAUACGGAUUGUCUUGAUUUAUCCACACAGCCGUGACAACACAUUGAACACAGUGAGAGAGAUUACUGACAGUCGAGAAGAUUUUAAUCAUUGAAGUACAGAUCCAGACGUCAGAAAUGAUCAAUGAAUAAUCUGGUGAUCUUCAGUAACUUGUGGAAAAUCAAGCUGCGUCUUUCUUCCUCGCAGUCGUCCUCAUGCAGACAUCUGCACUGCAGGCACAUCACGACAGUGAAAGCAGUUACUGUAGCUGUACUGUACCUGCAGCUGCCGUUGCACACCUCAGUAUUCUGGGAGUUUGAGAAGUUGUUUUUGAACGAUGAUAUGCGCCCAGACAGCAAUCUGGCCCUUUAAUGCCCUGCAUUUAUGGAGUCGCGCUGUUAACUUGUUUUCCAGCAUCUAGCGCUAUCUAGAGUUGCCUGAGACGAGAAGCUCACCACCCACUGAGAGUUUCCCAAGACUAAGUGCAGCUCUCCAAGCGUGAUGUAGUCUGCGGUCAAAACCUGACUCACUUAUGUUCACAUCUCGGACAACCGAGCCGAAAGAGCUCUGUCUCGAGACAGAACCCACAGUGUGAAACCGCCCUAACUUUGUCUCAUAACUUGUUCCUUUCAUGUUGUAUUUUCUGAUCUUGUCCUUUUAUCUUCAUCCCUGACUGACCCCUGAGUCUCUAAACCAUUCACCAUGGCAGUGACCACUAUUGUCCAUCACCUUCCCCGUUGCUAUUACCCUGACAUCCCUGUUGUCUCCACCAUGCCUGCACUCUCUGCCUACCUAGCCACUCACUGAGCUCAUGCCUGCUCCCACAGAUCACCAGCAAACAUUGUCAUCCACAGGCACUUAUCUUUACUGAACCAACUACAGUUCAUCUUAUUCACAUCAAAAGAUAAGACUCAUUGUUUUAUUAUCCACCCAUUCUCACUGCCAAGGCGUCAAAUUAUUUUCAUUUGAGACAGAGAUGUUUAGAGGCGUCGCUCUGAGAUGAAAAGGUCCAUUUGAUGAUAUGAACUAUUUCCUCUGAUUUUUGUCUAAAUUCUGCUUCCUUUUCCAGUGUUAUACAGUUUAUUCUUAGCUCUCUCUCUUGCUUUAGUUUGACAGCAGUGGUGUCAUUAUAUAUGCUUAAACUGUAUACACACACGACCUGAGCAGAGGGAUCAUGUGCCCUCCCUUUAUGUGCACACGCUUCAAUCUUUCCAAAUUUACAUCUACAAUCACAGAGUCAACAGUGGACAGCCGCCAACUUCCGUCAUGCUGAGUUAAGAUAUUUACUUUACCAAUAUGAUAUCAUGACUGACACUUUUUUGGUUCCGACCUCCAGUAAUAUGCAUAAAAGCUGGCACAAGCAGAGCUCAGUAGCAGCUAUGUCCCCGAGCUAACUUGGUGCACAGCCGCUGUGAACUCAAACAACAUGGCUGUCUGUCACAGGCAUGCAGGCGGUUUGAAGCCGAGAUAAGUGACGCUGCCUAGAACUGACACCAUCAUUUGGGUAACAUGACGUC